UAGAAAUUACCCAAAUCUAAAUAAUUACAAGGGUAGUUUUGUAGUUUUGAGGAGAAAAUAAAAUUCUCAUUUUUAACUGUGACUUUCUAACUAAAAACAAUUUGAAGCAACUGUAAUUUUUUACUUUACUUUUUCUAUCCCAAGAAGGAUCUUUUUCUUCUCUUUUAUUCUUUUCCUUUCUCUGACUUCACUUCAGCAGAUGAGUCACAAAGGCAGUCAUAGAACUCUCUUUUUGUCUUAGGAUUCUAUCAACAGAGACUGAGCUAUUCCAGACAGAGCCUACUAGACACCCCUGCAUCCUAAGAAUACCAUGCAGAAGACUGAAGCUGGAUCCUUAUCUUUUACCAUAUAUGAAAAUACACCAAACUGAAUCCAACAUUUUAAAUGUAAUAUACAGAAGCACCUUUUUCCAGCUUCAGUAUUCUUGGAGGUAUUGCAUAGCCAUUCACCUCUGUAAGUACACUAUUUUGUGUUAUUUUCCCCUUCUCCAAUUGGAGCAUAGUUGGAUAAGGGUAUCCAUCCCUUUUGAUUAAUAAAUAUGAUUUGUUUGCUUCUCUUAGCAGUUUGAAUAAGAAUAAAGGGGCAAUAACUAUAUGGCUGCUUGUGCUGAAGCUAAGGGGAAGAUGACAUGUUACUAAUCUCAUUCAUAAAUAAUUCUUUUCCUCCACUGUGCUGCUAUUGUUUGCAUGCCUUUUUUUUUCAGCAUGUAAAAGCAUUUUUAACUUACAUUUUAUUCUUUGUUCUUAUUUAUCCCUCCCUACAAAAAACCAGAUAAAAUAAAACUCUUGAGGGUAGGUGCCAUGGCUUACUCAUUUUGAAUUCUGAUCCAUGUCUAGGAUAGUGUCUAAUAAAUAGUAUAGUAUAGAUUAAACAAUUUUGCUGCUUUUGUCGAGUUGCAUUUAUGGCCUCUUUUGCUGAGUUUUUUUAUGCCUCCUGAGAUGUAUUACAGUGACCUCAUAACUUAAUCCUAUUACAUUCAUUUAUGAUCCUGAUAACCAAGGCCAAUUUGAAUUUUGGAAGUAUUUCCUGC
RNAcentral lists this long non-coding RNA (1030 nucleotides) under Callithrix jacchus (white-tufted-ear marmoset). RNAcentral describes it as "lncRNA (ENSCJAG00000085572.1)". Lineage: Eukaryota; Metazoa; Chordata; Mammalia; Primates; Cebidae. The record is from RNAcentral.